This 185-nucleotide small RNA is filed under the name Chrysemys picta bellii (western painted turtle). RNAcentral's name for it is "TUC338 (ENSCPBG00000006533.1)". Lineage: Eukaryota; Metazoa; Chordata; Testudines; Emydidae. The record is from RNAcentral.
UGGCUUGACAGUCUCUCUUUAUCCCCAGAACAGGUACAACACAGGCAGCAGCAGUGUCAGCUUCCCCUGCUCAUUGCCCCGCUAAUUAGAGCUGUCUGAAACUAUUUCGCACCACCUUCAGAAAACUCACACUUCCUUGGUUUUGCAGGAAAGCGAAAGCUGUCUCCUUCUUGCCUUGAGCUUUU